GGAGUUAGCCGGUGCUUCUUCUGUGAGUGAUGUCCUUCCUGCCGGUUAUUGACCCGCAGGCCUUCUUCCUCACUGAAAGUGCUUUACAACCCGAAGGCCUUCUUCACACACGCGGCAUGGCUGGAUCAGGGUUGCCCCCAUUGUCCAAUAUUCCCCACUGCUGCCUCCCGUAGGAGUCUGGGCCGUGUCUCAGUCCCAGUGUGGCUGAUCAUCCUCUCAGACCAGCUACGGAUCGUCGCCUUGGUGAGCCGUUACCUCACCAACCAGCUAAUCCGACAUAGGCUCAUCCGAUAGCGCGAGGCCCGAAGGUCCCCCGCUUUCCCCCGUAGGGCGUAUGCGGUAUUAGCCUGGGUUUCCCCAGGUUAUCCCCCACUACCGGGCAGAUUCCUAUGCAUUACUCACCCGUCCGCCGCUCGCCACCAGGGAGCAAGCUCCCCGUGCUGCCGCUCGACUUGCAUGUGUUAGGCCUGCCGCCAGCGUUCAAUCUGAGCCAUAAUCAAACUCUG
RNAcentral lists this ribosomal RNA (506 nucleotides) under uncultured bacterium. Its description in RNAcentral is "partial 16S ribosomal RNA". The record is from RNAcentral.